RNAcentral lists this transfer RNA (93 nucleotides) under bacterium. RNAcentral describes it as "tRNA-Ser". It matches the Rfam family "tRNA". Rfam says of the family: Transfer RNA (tRNA) molecules are approximately 80 nucleotides in length. Their secondary structure includes four short double-helical elements and three loops (D, anti-codon, and T loops). Further hydrogen bonds mediate the characteristic L-shaped molecular structure. tRNAs have two regions of fundamental functional importance: the anti-codon, which is responsible for specific mRNA codon recognition, and the 3' end, to which the tRNAs corresponding amino acid is attached (by aminoacyl-tRNA synthetases). tRNAs cope with the degeneracy of the genetic code in two manners: having more than one tRNA (with a specific anti-codon) for a particular amino acid; and 'wobble' base-pairing, i.e. permitting non-standard base-pairing at the 3rd anti-codon position. RNAcentral also lists the same sequence under 3 other names. The record is from RNAcentral.
GGAGCGGUGCCCGAGCGGCUGAAGGGACACGACUGGAAAUCGUGUAGGCUCCGAUGAGGGGUCUCGUGGGUUCGAAUCCCACCCGCUCCGCCA